Molecule: long non-coding RNA, 249 nt
Organism: Oncorhynchus tshawytscha (Chinook salmon)
Lineage: Eukaryota; Metazoa; Chordata; Actinopteri; Salmoniformes; Salmonidae
Exons: 3
Source: RefSeq, a predicted model, not a curated record
UUUGUCACCUGUUUGCCUGCGAGCCCUCUGAGCUGGAGAGCCUGCUUCCCUUACCUGAGGAGAUCCACUGGUCGCCCGGCGACAGUAAACUACAUGACAUGAGUGCUGAGGAGGUAGCCACUCAGCUGGUGGUGUUUGACUGGGAGCUCUUCAGCUGCAUGCAUGAGGUGGAGUUUGUGUGCUACGUGUUCCACGGCGAGCAAGCUCGCUGGCGCCCCCUCAACCUUGAGCUGGUACCUCAGCGAUGCA